UACGUAGGGCGCAAGCGUUGUCCGGAAUCAUUGGGCGUAAAGGGCGCGCAGGUGGUUCUGUAUGUCUGCCGUGAAAGCAUACAGCUCAACUGUAUUGUGUCGGUAGAAACUGCAGGACUUGAGGCUGGGAGGGGCUGGUGGAAUUCCCUGUGUAGCGGUGAAAUGCGUAGAGAUGGGGGAGAACACUCGUGGCGAAGGCGGCCAGCUAGGCCAGGUCUGACACUGAGGCGCGACAGCGUGGGGAGCAAACAGG
Molecule: ribosomal RNA, 253 nt
Filed under: uncultured bacterium
Lineage: Bacteria
Description: partial 16S ribosomal RNA
Rfam family: Bacterial small subunit ribosomal RNA
Source: RNAcentral